This is a non-coding RNA of Purpureocillium lilacinum, 112 nucleotides long. NCBI's taxonomy places the organism in Eukaryota, Fungi, Ascomycota, Sordariomycetes, Hypocreales, Ophiocordycipitaceae. The record is from the annotation of a RefSeq genome assembly.
UCCGGUAUGGUGUAGUGGCUAACAUCGCUCGCUCUCAAUUUCCCUUCCUCUCUACUCGAGGAAAUGGGGUUGUGGUUCCGAGCAGCCCAGGGUUCGAUUCCCUGUACCGGAG